This 367-nucleotide unclassified non-coding RNA is filed under the name soil metagenome. Its description in RNAcentral is "partial contains 5.8S ribosomal RNA, internal transcribed spacer 2, and large subunit ribosomal RNA". The stretch from base 1 to 121 matches the Rfam family "5.8S ribosomal RNA", at positions 35 to 154 of the family's 154-position model. The record is from RNAcentral.
GAUGAAGAACGUUAGCGAAAUGCGAUAAGUAAUGAGAAUUGCAGAAUUCAGUGAAUCAUCGAAUCUUUGAACGCACAUUGCACUCAUUAGUAUUCUAGUGAGUAUGCCUGUUCGAGCGUCAUUUCAACCCUUAAGCCUAGCUUAGUGUUGGGACUCUACCCUAACCGGUAGUUCCCCAAAAUCAGUUGGCGGAGUUCAGUCGGCUCUGAGUGUAGUAAUUUUCUCUCGCUUUAGAAGUCUUCUGGAUUACGGCCAGAAAGAGACGAGUCUCGCAUCUCGGUGCGUUUCUCAACUUUUUUUUUACAAUGGUUGACCUCGGAUCAGGUAGGAAUACCCGCUGAACUUAAGCAUAUCAAUAAGCGGAGGA